AUGGCGUGCUACCCAUGCAACCCCUACCCCCACCUCCCACCCGGCACUACCAUUGUUGCUCCUGGCCCUCUGCACGAGCAACGAGGAUACGUCGUUGUCGGAGGAGAACUCCCCAUGGUCUGCGACGAGUGGGCCAUCGCCAUGCUGGUACCUGGCAUUGCCCCAGAGGAGUUUCAUGGUGCUAACGCCAUGAUCACAAACUUCUUGGAGAAACGAGGAUGGAGAAUAAACUACUCUUCGCGCUGUGGUAUGGGAUCUCCACUUCAGUUUACUACUGCAUGCUCUCGCGACUCUGCUAUUACAAACAACCCAUAUCAGAUUGGAGACACUGUUCUUAGGAUCACUAGACAAGAUCGAGGACUGAACUAUCGUAGUAUUACUUUUACUCAUGAUGUCUGGUUGCUGUUGAUGAACUAUCCGCUCGAGUGCUGGGAUGUAAAUGUGAUUAGCCAUACUGUUGCGCCCUAUGGUAGAUUUCUGAUUUGGAACAAAGAUCCCAAAGACAAAACCAAAAUCAUUGUGAAAGUUAGAGUCUUUAACCCUGACACCCUACCUCUGAGCAUUGUGGUGCUGCGUAAUCUUGAUGAUAUUGGCUAUGGUUCAUGGACAUGUCCAACAUACAUUCUGUCCAGAGAAAUCAUUGGGCAGCAGGGAGGGGAUGAAGAUCCUCUGCCUCCGGAUGGAGGAAACCCACACCCUCUACCCCAUGUACAUGGUGGUUUUUGG
RNAcentral lists this ribosomal RNA (726 nucleotides) under Triticum aestivum (bread wheat). RNAcentral describes it as "partial small subunit ribosomal RNA". The record is from RNAcentral. Lineage: Eukaryota; Viridiplantae; Streptophyta; Magnoliopsida; Poales; Poaceae.